GACACCGAGAGGCACGUGCGAUGUGAUUUCCCUGUAGACAUCAUGUCGGACGGUACCUCAUUCGAGGAUGGUCUCUUUGUCGCACAGUCGACGAUACUGUGGGGCUCUGCAGGAUGUUUUCCCAUGAAAAACCGGAGACUGUGCGCUUCAUCGCCGAUAAUUCACUCCACCUUCUAAACAACAAGUAUGCAUCUUUAUCUUUGUGCAAAAAGGGUGAAGAAUAUGAGCAUCCGGAGUAUAUCAUUCGCAUUUUUUCAGGUCCACUACACUGAAAGCAAACUAAAAGAUUACAUUGACCCAGAUUAUG
This is a long non-coding RNA of Triticum dicoccoides, 307 nucleotides long. RefSeq lists it as uncharacterized. NCBI's taxonomy places the organism in Eukaryota, Viridiplantae, Streptophyta, Magnoliopsida, Poales, Poaceae. The transcript is spliced from 3 exons. The record is from RefSeq and is a predicted model, not a curated record.